RNAcentral lists this ribosomal RNA (253 nucleotides) under uncultured bacterium. RNAcentral's name for it is "partial 16S ribosomal RNA". It matches the Rfam family "Bacterial small subunit ribosomal RNA", at positions 524 to 776 of the family's 1533-position model. The record is from RNAcentral.
GACGAACCGUGCGAACGUUGUUCGGAAUCACUGGGCUUAAAGGGCGCGUAGGCGGCUUACCAAGUCCGGGGUGAAAUUUUGCGGCUUAACCGUAACAGUGCCUUGGAUACUGGUAGGCUCGAGGGAGACAGGGGUCCGCGGAACUUCCGGUGGAGCGGUGAAAUGCGUUGAUAUCGGAAGGAACGCCGGUGGCGAAAGCGGCGGACUGGAUCUCUUCUGACGCUGAGGCGCGAAAGCUAGGGGAGCAAACGGG